RNAcentral lists this ribosomal RNA (465 nucleotides) under uncultured Streptococcus sp. RNAcentral describes it as "bacterial SSU rRNA". It matches the Rfam family "Bacterial small subunit ribosomal RNA", at positions 338 to 795 of the family's 1533-position model. Lineage: Bacteria; Bacillati; Bacillota; Bacilli; Lactobacillales; Streptococcaceae. The record is from RNAcentral.
CCUACGGGUGGCAGCAGUAGGGAAUCUUCGGCAAUGGGGGCAACCCUGACCGAGCAACGCCGCGUGAGUGAAGAAGGUUUUCGGAUCGUAAAGCUCUGUUGUAAGUCAAGAACGAGUGUGAGAGUGGAAAGUUCACACUGUGACGGUAGCUUACCAGAAAGGGACGGCUAACUACGUGCCAGCAGCCGCGGUAAUACGUAGGUCCCGAGCGUUGUCCGGAUUUAUUGGGCGUAAAGCGAGCGCAGGCGGUUUGAUAAGUCUGAAGUUAAAGGCUGUGGCUCAACCAUAGUUCGCUUUGGAAACUGUCAAACUUGAGUGCAGAAGGGGAGAGUGGAAUUCCAUGUGUAGCGGUGAAAUGCGUAGAUAUAUGGAGGAACACCGGUGGCGAAAGCGGCUCUCUGGUCUGUAACUGACGCUGAGGCUCGAAAGCGUGGGGAGCGAACAGGAUUAGAUACCCCAGUAGUC